This 443-nucleotide ribosomal RNA is filed under the name uncultured Fusobacterium sp. RNAcentral's name for it is "bacterial SSU rRNA". It matches the Rfam family "Bacterial small subunit ribosomal RNA", at positions 338 to 795 of the family's 1533-position model. Lineage: Bacteria; Fusobacteriati; Fusobacteriota; Fusobacteriia; Fusobacteriales; Fusobacteriaceae. The record is from RNAcentral.
CCUACGGGUGGCAGCAGUGGGGAAUAUUGGACAAUGGACCAAGAGUCUGAUCCAGCAAUUCUGUGUGCACGAUGACGUUUUUCGGAAUGUAAAGUGCUUUCAGUUGGGAAGAAAAAAAUGACGGUACCAACAGAAGAAGUGACGGCUAAAUACGUGCCAGCAGCCGCGGUAAUACGUAUGUCACGAGCGUUAUCCGGAUUUAUUGGGCGUAAAGCGCGUCUAGGUGGUUAUGUAAGUCUGAUGUGAAAAUGCAGGGCUCAACUCUGUAUUGCGUUGGAAACUGUGUAACUAGAGUACUGGAGAGGUAAGCGGAACUACAAGUGUAGAGGUGAAAUUCGUAGAUAUUUGUAGGAAUGCCGAUGGGGAAGCCAGCUUACUGGACAGAUACUGACGCUGAAGCGCGAAAGCGUGGGUAGCAAACAGGAUUAGAUACCCGGGUAGUC